This is a long non-coding RNA of Taeniopygia guttata (zebra finch), 760 nucleotides long. RefSeq lists it as uncharacterized. Lineage: Eukaryota; Metazoa; Chordata; Aves; Passeriformes; Estrildidae. The record is from RefSeq and is a predicted model, not a curated record.
ACCGGGAGAGCUCGGGCGCAGGGCUCGCAGCACCCGGGACAGUGCGAGGGGUCCCUGCCGUGGCAGGGGCGAGCCAUGGAAAUAAUUGGGAUUUAAAAUCCACUUAAGGUCCAUUCCAAGCCUGGUUUCCUGGGAUUCUGUGCUGUUGUGGGGCCGAGGUUUGCAGCCCGGUGAACAAAGGCUGUGCAGCCCCAGCUGAGACAGGAGCCAUUGUCCAGGGGCUGCUAAAGGCACGGUGGGACAAACAGACUCUCACAAGGCAAAUCCAUUCGCCGGUUGGUGAAGAACUCCUCCCUGGGCAAACAAGCGAUGCCCAGAGGCACGGACUGAGCCGUGCCCUCCCAGCAGGGCACCCAAAGCGCUGCAGGUUGGGCUGAUCCAGCCCUGCGCAGGAAUGGCGCUCUGUCCCCCUGUCCUGCUCUCCCUCCGUUCUCCUCGGCAGGUCAGGGCUUUUCCCGAGGCUCUUUUCCUGCCAGGCUGCAUCAGAUGAGCAGUGGCAGCUUUGGAGUGGGAUGGAGCCCCUGGAACCACUCCUGGGUAACUGGGUUUGUGGAAAAUCCCUAAUCCGCCAACAGAGCACAACUGAGGCAGCGGCAGAUGUAGGAGGGCAACAACACCUAGAGACAAAAGGGACUUCCGGCUGGAGAACUUCCUGGGGAGUAGCCCUGCCCCUGGAAAAUAACAACACCUAGAGACAAAGAAACCAGAAAAGGCAAGAAGGUUAAAAACAAAAUCAAAAAAACAAUACAAACAUUGUAUU